GCCGGCAUAGCUCAGUUGGUAGAGCAACUGAUUUGUAAUCAGUAGGUCCCCAGUUCGAAUCCGGGUGCCGGCA
This is a non-coding RNA of Rhodanobacter sp. C03, 73 nucleotides long. Lineage: Bacteria; Pseudomonadati; Pseudomonadota; Gammaproteobacteria; Lysobacterales; Rhodanobacteraceae. The record is from Rfam.